Molecule: RNA transcript, 19535 nt
Organism: Motacilla alba alba
Lineage: Eukaryota; Metazoa; Chordata; Aves; Passeriformes; Motacillidae
Gene: PIBF1
Gene name: progesterone immunomodulatory binding factor 1
Exons: 17
Source: RefSeq, a predicted model, not a curated record
GCCGCGCCGAGGGGAGGCGGAAGCGCGCGCGCGCGUGUGGUGCCGCCGCUGCCCGGGGUGUGUGUGGGGCAGAGCCCAGCGCUGGCCCAGCCCGGGCUGCUGCUCCCCGAUCCCCGCCGCUGCCGAGUUACCGCUGGGGCAGCUGCCCACUGCCUUCCGCAGCUUCGGGCAUCCUGCGGGACGAACAGUAUUCCCUCUUCCCGAGCUGCCCCCGACUGCCGCGGGGAAGGAAGGCGGUGGUGGCGGCCCCGGGAGGGCAGCCCGGCUGUCGCUGGCCCGGGCUCCGAGCGCGGCGUCUCCUCUCCCUGCUGGGCUCUGAGCAGCGCCGUCUUUGAUUCUCCAGGAGGCUCAUCUCAAAGUAUAGCUUAGAAAAGCUUUGCGAAUAGUGGAAGAAAAUGUCACAUAAAAGCUCUAAGGUAAUCAAGAAAGUAAACGUUUCUAGCUCCUUGGAAUCUGAGGAUAUCAGCUUGGAAACCACAGUACCAACUGAUGAUGUUUCUUCCUCUGAAGAGAGAGAAGGUACUGUAAAAAUCACUAAGCAGCUGAUUGAACGGAAGGAGUUGCUCCAUAAUCUUCAGCUGCUUAAAAUAGAAUUAUCGCAAAAAAACUUGAUGAUUGACAACUUGAAAGUUGAAUAUUUGACCAAGAUUGAGGAGCUAGAGGAGAAGCUUAAUGAUGCAAUCCAUCAAAAGCAGCUGUUGUCUUUACGACUAGAUAGUCAGUUGGCAUUACAGCAAGAAGAUGCCAGGAAACAUCAGGCUCUAAUGAAGCAAGAAAUGGAAACUAUUUUAUUGAGACAGAAGCAACUGGAGGAAACAAAUUAUCAGUUGAGAGAGAGGGCAGGAGAUAUCCGCCGUAGCUUGAGAGACUUGGAAUUAACAGAUGAAUGCUAUGAGAAGCUAAAGUCUCUUCCUGAAGAUCAGCUUUCUAUCUCUGAAUAUGUUUCAGUCCGGUUCUAUGAAGUAGUCCGUUCCUUAAGAAGAGAGCUGAGUGAUCUGCAGACAAAAAGGGAGAGUCUGACAGAAGAACUAAGUGGGUACAGAUCCCAACUGAAGUGUCUGACAGAGAGCUAUGAAGACGAGAGGAGGAGUCGGUCAGAGCUUGAGGUCAGAUGCCAGCGUUUAACACUGGAACUGGCUGAUACCAAGCAGUUGAUUCAGCAAGGUGAUUACAAACAACAGAACUAUGAUAAAGUAAAAUGUGAACGUGAUGUAUUUGAGCAUGAAUUGUCAGAACUCAGAAGAAACUAUGAGAUACUGGAAGUUUCAUACAAAACACAAACUAAAGAAAGAAAUGACUUGGCAAAAGAGCUGGCAACCGUACAACAAUCCCUCAACUUGUUGCAAAAAGAUAAAGAUUAUCUCAAUCGCCAGAACAUGGAGCUUAGUGUUCGCUGUGCACACGAAGAAGAUCGUCUUGAAAGACUACAGAUUCAGCUAGAGGAUGCCAAAAAAGCUAGGGAAGAAAUGUAUGAAAAAUACGUUGCAUCCAGAGACCACUAUAAAGCAGAAUAUGAAAAGAGACUGCAUGAAGAGUUGGAACAAAUAAGGUUGAAAACAAAUCAAGAAAUUGAGCAGCUAAGAAGCACCUCAAAAGAGAUGUAUGAACGUGAAAACAGAAAUUUGAGAGAAGCACGAGAUAAUGCUGUUGCAGAAAAAGAGAGAGCAGUUACUGCUGAAAAGGAAUCUUUAAGAAAAUAUGAUCAACUCUUAGAACAGUAUAGACAAAUGCAGCUUGGCACAGAAAGCAAAGUUGCUGAACUUCUUCACCAGAGUAAGUUAAAGUCCUUUGAAACUGAACAUGUUCAACUCAUGCAACAAGAAACAGCUAAGAAUCUUUCACAAUGCCAAAUGGAAUGUGAGAAAUACCAGAGAAAGCUGGAGGUGCUUACUAAGGAAUUUUAUAGUCUUCAGUCUUCUAGUGAAACCCGCAUUAUUGAGCUUCAAACACAGAAUUCUGAAUUUCAAGCAAGACUAGAUACUUAUGAAAAACUUGAAAAGGAGCUUGAUGAGAUAAUACUGCAGACAGCAGAAAUGGAAGAUGAAGUUGAAGCUGAAAGGGUUCUCUUCUCAUAUGGAUAUGGUGCUAAUGUUCCUACAACAGCCAAAAGACGAUUAAAGCAAAGUGUUCACUUGGCAAGAAGAUUACUGCAGCUAGAAAAGCAAAACUCGUUGCUUGUGAAAGAUCUGGAACAUCAGAAGGAACAAGUAACACAGAUUUCACAAGAGCUUGACAGAGCAAAUUCUUUGCUGAACCAAGCACAACAGCCAUACAAAUACCUCAUUGAAACUGUGCAACAGAGAGAUUCUCAAAUAAGUCUACAGAAAGAACAUAUUACACAACUUGAAAAAGAUUUCAGUCUUUUAAAUAAAGAAAAGACAGCUUUGCUGCGUGUCAAGAAUCAAAUGGCAGCAGAUUUGGAGAGACUUCUAAAUGACCGUGAGGUAAUCUUCCUCUUUUAGCAUUACUACCUUAAGUGCACUUUUUUGCUACUGGCUCUCAAACCAUGGAGAAAAGAAUGGUUUACUUUGGUUUGAUUUUUUGGGGUUUUCUUGUCUGUGUCGUUUUCAGCAACACAGGUGACCAUGUCUGUCGGGUACUGGGGAGGUUCUCUGUUGUACUCUCAGUUGUUAAAUUUUCUCUGAUAAUUUAUUGUCUCUGUUCUUUCAUUUCCUUUGCCUUGAACAGUGUUUGGCGAUUGCAAGCAUUUAACAGGAAUCUAGAUAAACACAGUGAAAUUGAUACACAUGUAAUCUGCAAGGUCUGCAUUUGCCACAGUAUGCCUCAGGGAUCUCUCUGUGCUGCCCAGUCCUUGCAGGCAAACAUUGGACGAAAGCACUGUUCAAUUCAUUUCCCAUACACUCUUUUGAAUCCCUUUUCAACUCCAAAAUAGGGGUUAGGGAGAGGAAACAAGACAAUAGUUACACAGGUUUCUGAGAAGAGUCUGGGUACUCUUUUGUGUACUUACCUGAGUUUCAUCUGAGCAAGAAUCGGGGUGCUACUGGACUGGAUUAUACUCUCAGAUCUAAAAGUAUUAAAAAUUGUGCCAUUUAGGGAAUCCUAAAGGCUCUUGUCAAGAUUUUUAUCUGAACAAUCUUAAGAGACUAAUAUGUCAUGGCAUAGGAGAGAAAAUCUGCAAAUUAAAUGACUGAAACAAAGGAUGAAAAUAAAUGAAGUUUACUGCAGGAAUCUGAGGAUGUGAAUAAUACAACAGAAUUUUCUGAAGCUAAAGAGUACUGAAGAUAUAAAACCAAAAGCUGACCUAAGCAGCUAUUAAAUCUUCUCCCAGAGUUGCUGAAUAAUUUGGCAAGGAUUUGCAGAAAAAAUACAACAUUAACAAAUCAGGAAUGAGGAAAAACAGUACAAAUUAUAGAUACAGAGUGAUGGGACCUCGCUACCCACUUACCUAUUCAGAAAGUGUUCAUAGAGACAUAUCAAUAGUUUUCUGACAACAUCUUUCUUUUCUCUUACUGGUAAGAGAAAAGAUGGAAAGAUUCCUUUCAAAGAAGCUACAACUCCCCUAAAUUAUCCUGUCAGAGUUUGGAUUAUCACUCAUUUUAAAACAUUAUUUUCAUGGAAAACUGACUAUCCACUUCCUGAAGUCUCAUUCCACCUCCAAAAUUCUUUUCCUUCAUCUCCUUUUCAUACUGUUCAUCACAUUCCCUUCUUAGAUCAGUAAACCAAAAUCCAUGUCAUUAAUUGGUCCAAACUAGUUUGUCUCUCCCAAGCACUUAAAAAACUCCUUUUUGUUAGACCCAAAACAAAACAGUUUUGCUGGCAGCUGAGUCCAAGUGAGCCUCAAUUUAAAUGAAAACUACUAAUUCUCUUUGCCGAGUUCCAAACCAAACUAAUCUAAGAUUUAAACAUUUCUAAAUAGUUUAUAAACCUUACCAUUAUAUUCAUGCUUUAUCAUAUUCUUAUAUUAAUGGUAUGAAAAAUACUCUGAGGAAACAUGAUGUAAUUGUAUAAACAUGUAGUGUUUUUUCCAUUAUUAUAGGUCCUUGGCCUAAUUUCAAAUAAAUUUCUUUCAAAAUUUCCUGUUCCUAGUCUUUCUUUCCCAGCCAGCGGUGCUGCCAACUAGUUGUGUUCACAAAGCAAUCACACUUGGGUGCCUAGAUUUAGUAGUGUCAUAUCAAUAAGCAUGCAUUGCAGCUGAUUAAAAGCAGUAGAAAGUGAUAAAAGAAAAUUUUUGCCAUGUUUUCUGAGAAAACUAUAGCAUUUCUAACUGAAAGCUAUGCAACAUUUUUUACAUCCAAACUAUAUUAGCCCCUGUAAGUACCCUCAUAAACUAUUCCUGAUAUGCAGCAGUUUGCUUCUUUGUGUCAUUUCAUCAUUCCAAAUUUUAAACUCUGUCAAAUGAUCUAGGAAGGCUGGUGGAGGAAGGCUUGAUUGAAAAAGAAAAGCAAAUACUUGAGUCUGAAACAGACUUCUUCGAUGUUUCUCAUACCCUGAAUGUUAAGAAAUUGAUCAAAUAUUUCCAAAAUCAGUACUGUUUUCUGAAAUUUCUUUUUAUAUUUGUUAAAAAUAGGACAUAUUAGUCAUACUGGUUUUGUCAAACUGUGAUAAUGUUUUUUAAAGAUACCUCUGCAGAAAAGUAUAUGAAUAAAAAAUAUGAAAAAGAAACAUUAGAAGUUGCAUGUUUGAGGGAAGAAAACUAUGAAAUGCCAAUACAAUGCACAAAAAAAAUCUCCUGAGAAACAAAAUAUUAGCUAAAAUUCUUUCAGGAAAAUGUUUGAAAAGAACAGGUAGCUUUUGUGCUUGUGUGUAAGUUUAAUUUUUGUCAAUUCUGUUUAUUCCUAAUGCAGCCUUUUAUUUUUUACUUCUAAUGCAAACUUCUUCCAGUAGUUUUACACUUUAUGAAUUUCUCCAAAAGGCGGUUAUCUCAGGUAUUGAAAUCUUUGUACAGGAUAGUGAGUUAGUCUUUGACUAUACUUCUUUGCCAUCCUAAUAAAAGAUUUAAAUUUGCAGUAACAUCACAAUUUUCCAGUAAUUAUCCUUGCUGACAGAAAUAAAGAAUACAAAUUUUCUCACUUUGGGUUAGUAAAGGGUUAACUGCAUUUAAACAGAUUGCAAUUUUAAAUAAAACUGACAGGCAACCUGUAAAUACAGACUCAUACACUUUGAAAAAAAAAAAGUGAAUUAUGGGUUUAUGUGUUUGGUACGUGCUGUCAUGUAACAGGGUUACUAUCAGCCUUGUUCAGUCAUUGCACAUACUAAACUGUCAUGUCUUGUUAGGAAUUACCUUGUUGCUCUCAUGUUUGCAAGUAGAAACAUUAGAAUUCUUGAAUAGAUAAACUGAAGAUAUUCAUAGUUAAGAUAAAAUGAAGUUUAGGUAUGUUGCUAAAAGUACAAGCAAAAUGCCAAAAUGAUGUUAAUGCUGUCUUCCAGCAACGUGUUUCAAUAGGUGCACAGUUUUGACUUAAGGUAUUCUAGCCUGUGUGGUCUCAGACUGUAUUAACUCUUUUUAAUGGAAUGCUAGAGUUUGAGGGGUUGGAAGGUUUUUUAAUUUUUAUCUCUUUGUGAUAUCAGCUACAUUCAUAAUGCUUCUUUGGAGACUAUUAUAGCAUUUUAUACACUUUUUAAAUAAAGAACUUACAUUCAUGAUUAAUCUUCUCUUUUCACAGAUUUUAAUUUUAGAAGAAGAAAGUUGAAAGUUAUACUUUGAACCUUGGAAGAAUUUCUGUAGGAUUCUUACAUGAGCUCUUUUAUUACAGGAAAAAAUUACACUAAAUGUUAAUGUCAUAAAAUAGUUCAUUAUUUCAAAUUAUAUAGACAUCUAAUUUGAUGAUGAGUCUUAUAUUUUGCUGUGGGACAUCAAAGUGAAAAAUAGUUAUUUCAUUAUGUAAAACCUUAAAAGCUUCUGUCCACCCAUGAAGGAGAAAAAAGGAAGGUUGGGGUUUUAUUCAGACUACAUUGUUGGCCCAAAUUCUGAAUUGUUUCUUGGCCUGCUACUUCCUUUUCUGUCUGAAUUAAUUAGUAAAUGAAUGUGGAAAACAGUUUAAUCUAUUUUUUCAUUUAGAUCACUGAGAAUCAGCUGGUAAGAUAAAAUUUCUUGCAUUCUUCAUGUCAUUAAAUGCAAACUUCCCUAUUAGAGGGAGUUCAGUGGCAUUAUCGUAAAUGAGCAAUAUCUAGGAUGAUGUUGAGAUCAUGUUGGAGGUGCAUAAUAAAGCCUUCCCAGUGCCCCUUGUCUUCUCUGAGCUCUCAGAAGUGUCUGGGGUGCAUAGUAUUUGGAUGCCAUUUGUACACCCCUUAGUGCAAGACAGCAAGUUAAUGCAGCCACAUUUUUCAGUUGAUUUUAAAAUAAGAUAUUUUCUAUGUUUUGUCAAGGUAUUAUUUUUUAAUUUUUUUUCUAGAUCCAUCAGAAUCAGAAAAGCAUAAAACAUUGUUUGGAGGAACAAUGUGGUCUCCCAUAAUCUUCCAGUAAAUAGUGUGGGUUUUUUUUUUUUGUUUUUUUUUGAAAAAGGGAUAUUUCAGACCUGCAGAAUAAGAUUUUUUUGUAUUAUUAUUUGUAGUGUCCAUUCUCAUUUUAAUCACCAUCUGAACCAAUCAGUGAGAAGCUGAACUUCACAGUGUUGCCACUCUUAACUCAAAUAACCAAACCACACCAACACCACCUUGUAGUUUUGAUUCUUCCCACUAACUAAUUAACUGCAUGACCUGGCCCCAUCUUUGGAACUUAUUGCCCACGUGUCUUUGUAUAGUCAGGGAAGAACGAGUAAGAAAGAUGUUCCUUCAAAGAAUAAAUCCAGAUUAAAUUAUACAUCAUGCCUGAGUUGACCCAAUAGCUAUAACACUACCUUACCCCUUUGCUCCUGAUUCUCCUCCUCCCUCCUCCUGUUCCACCAGCUCUGAUACACUUCUCAUGUUGCAGUAGGACCAUUCAAAUCACUAAACAGAAACCUAACCUGGCGAAAAAAACCCUACAAAAGUGUAUUGCUGUCUGUUAAGUUAGCAGUUUGAAUGAUCUUUGGAAAGAGUCCAGAAAAAAAAAAAAAAAAAAAAAAAAAGUAAAAAAAUGUAUAUGUCAAUAUUACUUACCUGUGAUAAAGAGGGCAUUUUGUGUCCAAAACUGUAUAGAACACCAGCUUGUGUGCCAUCCUUUAUCUGCAUCCAAACAUUAUUCUUUUGUGCAUAUAAGGGGCAUCUAUAACUUAAAGGCACUGAAAAUGCAGUUCUCGGUUAAGUGCUAAAGUUAAGUGGCAUGAAUCCACUAAAUCUUUUUGGUGAAGCUCUUGAUAUGUGAUUCCUUUUAUCUAGUUAGUUGGUUUGGGGUUUUUUUUCUUUCCAACAGUCAGUCUUUGACUAAAAGGAAUAUUUACCAUGAUCUCUGUGAUCCUGGCAAUUCCAUUGCCUUUCAUGCUUGAUGCAGUUGUUAGCAUCUUGUAACAUCAGAAGUGCAAUUCUAGACUUUAUCCAUUGGCUUUCAAACUUCAGAUGAAAACUUGGAAGGGCAGUCUGUCAGCACUCAGAUGUUUGGCAAGAAGUUUUAGUAAUAAUUUCCUGAGGUUACAUUUAAGAGGUUAUAAAUUUGCUAUGCUUUGAUGUAUAGCAUUGUACUAUUUCUUCAGAAAUUUAAGAUGCAGAUGUGUCAUAAUAAAGAAAACUAAUAAUGUGCACAAUUAAAUCUCUUUUAGCUUUUCCAAUUCAAACAGUGUAGAAACCGAGUUCUAAAAUCUUGAAAAUUAACUAGCUGGGGUUUGUAUUUUUAAUGUGAAGUUCAUAAUCCCUUGGGGUUUGGGAAAAAAAAAAAAAAAAAAGCAGAGCAAGUAGAAUAAAUGGAGUUCUUUUUAUGUUUCAAAUACUGUCGGAGAUCUUAAAACAAAAAAAGAGACAGUGGUAUAAGAGACACCAGUAGAAGACUUUAAUAGGUGUUUCUUCAAGUCCUAAGAUCAGUUCAAGUCCUAAGAUCAGUUUCUGUUUGUAUGAAUAUAAAGGACUUCAUUUACACUAUUUUUUAACUGCUUGAAAUCACCAGUAUGUGAUGCAGUCUGGCAACGCAGUAAUUUUUAACCUAAAAAAGUAAAACUAAUACUAUAAAAUCAUUUUCAUAAGAAAUAGAAUGGUAAUAUUUAUUAUAUAAAUGCUGCAAAUCCAGGCUGUUUACAAUAACCAUUAAUUUCCUGCAGUGCAAUUGUUUAUGCAGGCAUGAUUCAUUAUCAGCCCAUGAAUAUUAUACACCAGGUAAGAAGAUAUGACAACCUGCUGAUAUUUUGUCUGCUUUACACAUCUGUGCACUCACCCUACAUUAGCAGCUGUGCAUACAAGUGAUAGAAUGUAAACUUGCUGAACUAGUCACCUGCCUUAUUGACACAUUCAUGUGUUACCGUGCCAGAGCUCUUCAAGUGAAGUUAGCAACCAGAAACCAGGCUCUGGCUGUCUGCUAGGGGACAAAGUAGAAAACAUGUAGUAGUAGUUUAAAUAAACCUGGUUGAUAUCAAUCAGUUAAAUGGCUACAGACACAUGGAGUUUGAUUGCUAUUUGUUUACUUAAAUCCAUUUAGCUUAUGUCAGGAAAUUGUUGUGUCACUCAAACUGAGUAUUAAAUCUGUCUAAAUAUGUGUACCUGAAUUGGUAGGAAUCUUCAGCUCGAUUGGGUUCAAAUUUAUAUUGGUUAACUGUUGCAAACUCUUAUUCUAUUUAAACCAUAUUAAAGAAUAAAAAAUUCUUAGUGAGCUGUUCUCUCUGAAAAUAGUCUACCAGUUUAAUAUUAAAAUGCUAAUUGCCUGAGCACCUAUUGUGGUGAGCUUACGUUCCAGCUGGCAGGUGAGGAGCAUUCCACGUGUGAUGUGUAACUCACCAUUUACGAGUAAACCUAAUGCUUUUCCUUUAAAACCAUGUUACUCUUUCCUCUUCCCAGGUUUUCACAGUUUCUUAUCAAUAUGUCAAAACAAUCCUAUUUAUUAACUGAAUAUUUCUGUGGCCUUCACCACUGUAGCUGUAGCUGAACACCUGUCUCACAAAUAUUAUACCCUCAAGUUAAGCGCAAAACUAUUACUAUCCCUGUUUUGCAGAAGCAAUAAUCAAAAGAAAAGAAAUGGUGCUUUGUACAAAACUCCCGCAUUUAUGGAAGAGGUUAAGAGUUCAUGUGUCCUAAUGCAGUAUCUUACUCACAGCCAUUUCUUGUUUCUUACAUGUCUCUGUUCUAAAGCCUGAAAAGAAAAUCUCCUUAGUGUUUAUUUUUCCUAACUAGACACAAAUUAACUCUUUUCUCUAAGUCAUCUUCUUAUAUCGGAACUGAUUGUAUUUUGGAAGCAGUUUCACAAACAAUUACAUUUUCUCUUCGUAUCAUUCUGAGAAUUGACAUAUUUUUUUAAUCAGUGUCUACUGAAAAAGGCCACUUUCCAAUGCCCUGCCAGUCUCUUAAAGAUUAAAUCUUAAAAACUAAAUAUGUGAAUUAAAAGAAGUUUUUAUUUAAUCUGUAGGAUGGAUAUUUUAUAUUUUUUAUAUAGUAUUUUCUGGGAGAAAUAAAAAAGAGAAAUUGCACAACAGGCCAGACGUCUUAUGUGAGUGAGAUUAAAGGUCUAGUUUAUUUUGUUCUAGGAAACAGAGGAUAUGGUGGGAUGCAAGAAAAGGAGAUAAGCAUAAGGCAAUAUUGUGUAGUAAAAGUUAAGAACAGAAAACAGUUAUUUCAUUAUCUUUAAAAUGUUAAAAUCUGACUUAUUUUUUAGUGUUUGAUAAAUGGUUGCCAAAUGCAUUUUGCAAGUGUAUUUAAGAUUGGGGAGACUCCACGUGAUCAAGAGGAGAAGCAGUUACUAAUUAGUCAUAUUAGGAUAUGCAUAGUUUGUGAAGGGCUCUAAGUGUUUUUUCAGAGCAUCUAUAAAUUAUCAGGCUAAGGUUUCCAAGGAUUUACAUAAAUGCUUAUGAAUGUUAGAUUUGAAACAUGGCCACAUGAAUUUCAGAAUUCCAUGACAUUGUUCCAAAAUUUUAAUGUCCACAGUGUUUGAGAAUCCAGUAGUCUCUGUUCUUGCAUUCAUCUUGUGUCAGUAUCCUGCACAAAAUCCUGGUACUUCUCAAUAGUUAUCCUGUUUUUUUGCCCACAAGAGUGAAAGAAAAGUCAGAUGUUUUUAUUCUUUUUUCCUCUUUUGUGGAAAUGCAAGGUGCCCUGAAAUAUCUUUGCUUUACCUUAAUUUGACCAUUCUACUCUACAUUACCAGUUUGUCCUUCUUACUUUCGUAUUGCCUUUGCGGACUACCCCUCACUGCUAAAUUCUCUGUGCCCAGAUUUUAAUUCCAUCUCAGCAAUGACCUUGAGAAUUCCAGAUGAGUUUUCAGCAUUUCAUUAUUAGUCAUACUUUAAAGUCUGGCUGAUACUAUCCUUAGCUGUAAUUAAGUUAUGCCGAAGAAGAUUGACUAGGAAUAACCUAGGACAGAAAGCCAAUAUGUCGGAUUUAGGAACCUGGAGAGUAGCAACAGCUGCCAUCUGCAAAAAAACAGAGGUGGAGAGAAGUUCAGACGCUCAUAAAAAGCUUUGGAGUCGUAAGGGGGAGGGCAGUACGUGUUUAAUCAGGGAUGGAAGCUUAGUGGAUAAAAGGAGAAAACUGCUUUGUUGGGGAGAGGGGAAGGAAGGAGUAUCUGCAGGGGUUGGGAAGACACGAAUGAAAAGAUGUGAUUGGUAACAGGUGCCUUCAAACAAUCUCAAUCUCUGCCUCUUCCCCCUCUUUUCUGUGUAAAAAGAUUGUACAUGAUAAUGUCAAAAUUAUUUGUGUUUCUAAAGUGAGUGACUUCCUGCUCAUCUAUGUGCUGCAACUUGUUUUAUAUAAAAAAAUGCUGAUGUACAAUGCUUAGCUCUCUUUUUAAAUGUUAAGCCACAGAGUAAUUAUCAUUUUUCUUAUGCUACGUUUAUGUUCCAAGAUUCUAGUUUCUAUUAAUGUUCUGCAUGUUUUCUAAGUAGAUUACAGGAACAUUUCUGCAUCACAAGUAAGCCCCGGAGCUAUUCUCAGCUUUAAGCUUGGAGAAACAAAGUGACAUUUACAUAGCUAAACGAGUGUAGAGAAGCUUCUGGCUCAUUUUUUACAAAGAAAAAUAUGUUCCUAAGCAGUAGUUCUCAUCUUUUUGUUAUCUGUUUUGUUGCUGUCAAGCUUUAAUAAACAGUGAAUUCCAAAUAGUACUGAAUUUAGGAAGGACAGCACUGAUUCUUUUCUUUGAGCUGUAUUAUUCAUAAUGUGUUACUAUCUUUAAUAUAUAUUCUUGCAAGAAUUAUCUUUCAAUUCACAGUGGUAUACAGUAAGUAGUUGUGUGCUAAAUAGGAGGUUUCAUAGGCAAAAUGCAACAUAUAUUUAGAUUAUGGGAUGGAAUUGGCAUGUGUAUUUUAAAUUAUAUGGUUUUGACAGAGCUAGAAUCAAUAAAGGGAUAAACUUUUAAACAAGAAAUUGUUAAUUGUUGAUUAAUCUGAAAUUGUUCAGAUUUUCUCAACAUGUAUCCCAUGUUAUAUUCUUUUUUUCCUGGAUUGGCUGUGUAUAUUUCUGUGUCAUUCUACUGCAUAUCCAGCUGUGUAAAAUUUUUACUUUUGUACAUUUCAUGGUAGCAUUUGACUAUUACCAAGUGGAAAGUGAAUUUAAAUACUGUAAGAAAUAGCAAAGCCAGGGAGAACUAAACUAGAAUAUUACAAUUUAAGAGAAUACAGUAACUUUUACAUAAUAAUGUAUGAAAAUAAGGCUAUUUUAGCACAUUAGCAUGUUAGCAUCCAUUUCCUGUUAGGUGAACUUAUUGAAGAAAGCAUAUGAAUAAAUGAAUAUCACAAUGGCUCAGAUUAAAAAAAAGUAUUUGGAGAAUUAGUCCUAGUUACAAUUACAAAUAUAUUUCUUAUCAACAAUACAAAAGUGAAAGAACCUUAACAAUUUGACAUGCUAGUUCUGAAUUAUGAGACAAAUUAUUUCCUAUUUUUGUUAAUAAGUUAGAUAGAUUAAACUGUUAAGAACAAAUUUAAGAUACAGCUGAAAUAGGCUGAGAUUUUUAUGUAUCUAAAAAGACAGAAGCUGUUCUCUGCAGUGACUGGGACAUGUUAUUGCUGCCACAGUUCUAAUGCAUUCACCUUAUAAAACUGGAAGUAGUUUGUAGAACCAUAUAGUCACAGAUCUGUCAGUUCAUUUUAAGGUUUUUAUAUGGACUGGGAUAUAGAGAACUAGUGAAUUAAGUGUAAUGCAGAGAAGUUAUCAACAUCCUGCAUAUGGUCUGGCAUCUUUCCACCACCCAGUUAUCAGCUUCAUUUGUUUGAUCAGGACAUUUCAUACUGUCUUCCAGUUUCCAGCUUUACAGUGUGUAUCCAUAUGCCUUAGAUGACCAUAUGUGCAAUUCUCACACUGAAAUUCUUGCUGACUUCUUGUAUUUCCAGUACAGCUGCAAUUAGGAUGCAACUAUGUCAAAUACACUCUGCCUUACUUGAAGGAUUGAACAAUGACUUGUGAUGUAUUCUUGAUUUUUUAGGCAGUUGCUAAAAUCUUCUUUGAGCUCUGUUAUGGAUGUAUAUUCUACUCCUGAUAGGCACAAGCCUCAUAGUUGAAACUGAGUUUGCACCAGUUGUGCCACUGCUUCCUAUCCAUCUGCAGGCUUAAGUAAGGGAAUGGACUGGCUGACCAUUUGUUUCAUUUAGCUGUCAUGUUGAAAUGGCACUUCUGCAGUGUCUUCCUCCUGUUUCACAAUUUGUCAUCAUUAAUGUUACUGUCCAGUGUUGUGAAUUCGUGCUAAUGGUGUUGGUCUUUUUUCCACUUCCAGCCAAAAAAGGGGACUGAUCAUCCAUUCUAGGCUAUAGCCUAUCUUCUGCAGUAUGUCUCUAGCAGAAAUAAAACCCCUGAAGGACAGUUAUAAAAUAGUUCUUUGUGUGAAUUGUCAGCGCUUCUGAAGAGGAGACAUUGUAGAUACUACUUUUGCUUGAGAGUCUCAUUCCUUGAUAAUGACACGUAUGUCUACUUUCUCUAGUACACUCCAAAGUUUGAGUACCAUACUCAAACUUCAAAGUGCUGUAUGUAAGUCAUUGCAUAUGUUGAAAGGUUUAACCAGGUUUUGUUUCAGUCAUCUAGUCUGUUGUUGUGCAGAAAUAUAUUUAUGCCGAGAAUCCAUACAGUGAACUUUGUUUACCUCCAUUUUAACUGGUGAAUUCCAGUGCUGUCAAAGAUACUGCCAGUGUAAAGAUCAUCUGAGAAGUCAAUUGUCAAGUGGCAAAGUGAUAGAGAUUGAUCUUGCCUAAUAUAAAAAAUAUAUCAUGUAGGUAUCUACACCUGAAAAUCAUCUAGGGAUUUGCAGUCAGAAAAAAGAAGCAGGUACUAUUAUGGAGUGAUUUACCAUAAUCUCAUUUAAAAUAAGCAAAGUUAAUAUCACUUUUGAAUUUCUCACCAACAGCAUUAUAAUGGGAUCAGACAAGCUAGUUUGCCUAGGUUUAAAUAUUAUUACUGAAGAUAUCUAAAGGUGUAUGUGAGGAAAUCCAACCAAGUAUCCAGUCACAUGUUCCAAAGCCAAACUUCAGUCAGUUAUCACAUGUUCUAAAGCCACAAUGCAAUCAGAGGUCUCACAAAGAUCCCUAUCCACCUUAGUAUUAGCAAUUAAAUGACACAACUUUAUUUCAAUGUACCUUUACUUUCACAAAAGUUACAGUAGAAGUCUAAGAGGGAUCCAAGUAAGGAACUGCACAAGAUUUCAUAGAGGGCAGUAUCCUUAGUAUUUUCUCUACCAUCACCUGAUGUGCCCAUUAAUCUUGAUCCCAGUGAACACCUUGAGACAGUCAGCUGUGAAGAUGGUUCCUUCUGAACCACCCUGCCCUACCUUCUUCCAGAUUAAGAUAAUUUUCCCUCAAGGAGAAGAUAUUGGAAGUAUAAAGCUUUAUUUUUGUUUUUGAAUCCUCUCUUGAACUUUUGUAUAUUGAACAUGAACUUUUAAUUCUUCAGACACUGAGAAAUCAUUCCAGAAUAUGCUCUACAGAACACUUCCAAAUCGGUGUAACAUUCUUAAAUGCUGAUUUAAGUUUCUCAAAUCAAGGUUCUUUAACAAACCUGUAGCUUCAAUUUCUGACCUUUGUUUUUCCCUGUGCAGACUUGUUUGAAGACUACAAUAGCUGAAUAACUAAGAGGAAACAUGCAUGUGAAGACAGAUUGCACUGACUUGCCAUGAACAUGUUUUUCAUGCCAGUACAGCUAUGUUCCCUCACUUGUAUGUUCUAACAUAUUUAUUGUUUUUAUUGUUAAUGUUAUUUUAGAAGUUAAUGCAGCCAUAAUAGUCACCAGGCUGCUACAUUCCAAGCCACUAUUUGGCUUCCCCAUCACGAAGAGUCCAGUCUCUGGACUGAAGUUGUGGUGCACUAAAAGUCUUUUUGUGAAGCAGUUUUUUGUUCAAUCCCUUCCAUGCAUGGGGGGUGUACAGUCAAACUCCAGACUGGAUACAUAUUUUAUUUUGAGUUAUAGUUUAACCACAUGGGGACCAUAUGGCAGUUAAACUGAAGAAUACCAGCUUUCCAAAGGAGGUCCUGACCAUAUAUGCUUUGCUCUCACAGUACAGGAGACUUAAGGAUUGGGAGUGAGAAUACACGUCUAAGAUUGUCACGUUAGUGCUUGACACACAAAUUUUGAAAGACCUUAACUUUUGAUCAGCAUCCCUGGGGGAGGAGACCUCUAGUUUUAUCCCUCUUUCAUCUGAUUUUUCUGACUUUGCCAGUGAAUUUGGUUUUCUGUGCUAUUCCUUUAUGCUGUGUUCUUCUCUGGGAACACUUGUCAGUCAUCAAAAAUUCAGUGGUUCUGCCAGAACCUGAUACAUUUUCUAGGGCAGAAAUCCCUUGUUCAGCUAAUACGAGUUCUCUGCUUCAAAAUGGAGUUAAGGUGAAGUUUGCAAUUGUAAAUUCCAAGGUGAAGUUGUGCUAAGGUGAAGUUUGCAAUUGUAAAUUCUUAAAUAUAUGCAGUUGUAAAUUCCAUAUAGAAUUCCUAAAUUCUAUAUGCAGAGCUAAAAGUAGAAUGCCACUUGCCAUGAUAAAGGUUUGGUUAACUGGACAUUCUAUUAUCAGGAUCACUUUUGCUUUAGAGGACAUUUACCUGAGUACAGUGACUGUGAGUUUUACUGCAAGAGGAAAGAGUCAGAUGGAUCUGGUACCCACUGGCUGCUUCUAUGAUUUUUGUGAUAUGAAAAAGCCAUUCAAUUUACCAUUAGAACAAGCUACCUUGAGACCACAUAGGUAUAUAUCUCUUCCUGCUGAGAAGUUCCAACUGUCUGGUUUGAUCUGUGUAACACUUCUUUUCAGGAUCAUUGUAUGGAGAUUAUUUGAGGUGCAAGACUUCCCUGCCGUAAGAACCUAAGAAUUGACAUGUAUGUGAUUGAUUCCUGUUAGCCAGUUACUUCUUCUUGAGACUGUUAUUUUGUAUCUGCUUCCAGAGCAUGAUAGAUAGAUAGAUAGAUAGAUAGAUAGAUAGAUAGAUAGAUAGAUAGAUAGAUCUCAUUAACAGCUUAUAUAAAUUUACAUAGUUAUUAUAACUGUAUAUACACAUAUAUAAUGUUAAGUGCUAUUGCAAGCUUUUGAGUGCAUACAGAGGAUUCUUUCUUUCUUUGAUUAUAGUUACAUGACAAAGACAGAAAGAAAAAAAAAUUAUGCUGUUGACAAUUCACUGAAAAAAAAUGAAAUUACUAUCUUGAUACUAUACUUGAUUACAGUGCUUAAUGUAGGCAUUUGUUUCACAUACUUCAUCGGUUACAUGAUAAAAGAGCACCUUUUUAUGCCUCAGUCAUUUCCCAAGAGACAGUUCUUUUUCAUUUUGUUUUGAUGAUGUAAGUCGUGGUUUUGUUAUAAUACCUAAUAUUCUGUUAAUUUUGAAUUAGGAAGACAUAAGCUGCUCUUUUGGUGCAUGUAUGUUUGAGCAUGUAUCAAGGACAUCAAAACCAAUAUUAAUAGAGUUCCCUUUAUAGUAUCUGUAACUUGAAAUACAUUUGUAUUUUAUAUGGCUUCAUGCCUUAUUUUUGCAUUUGCUUAUCUUCUAGUUGCAUUGCUAGUUGAAUCAAAUUUUAUCCUUUGCAUUCCAAAAUUGAUCCAUUUUUCUAGGUACUAUUUUAAUUAUCCAUAAUUGACAGGUAAAAUCUAUUUUAAAUAAACUACAGCUUAUUUUUACUUCUAAUUUAAGCUCAAACAUCAUUAGAAAGUCUCUGAAUUUUCUGAAGUAUGAGUAGGUAAUACCCUUUUUUACCUUUUAAAAAUGACUUACACUUCUUCGGUUUGGUUCUUUUAACACUAUUUUAAAGGCUGAUGAUUUUCAGUUAGUUCCUCAAGACCAGUAUUUAGCCUAAUAAACUAGCAAGGUAGAAUUUGGGAAAUAUUGCAAACCAGAAAACAUUUUAAUUAAUGGACACUGUGGGAAAAAAGACUGCUGUCUAUCCUUUUUCUGUACCUUAGUAAAGAGUCAUAGAAACACUAAAGUUGGAAAAGACCUCUAAGAUCAUUGAGUCCAACCUUUAUAUCUCCUUCUCCGCUUGUAUAUUGGCACACAAAAUUGCUUUUGCUAUUUUUAACUAAGGUUGUUGGACAUAACUUACCAAAAAUAAAUGGAAAUGAGCAAGUAGCUUCUUCUGAUACUAUUUACAAUGCAAUACAUGUUACCUUACUUCACCUCCUGCUACAUCAUUCCCAGUGUUCUCAGUCCAUUCAUUCUAAUCAGUUACUUUGAAUUCCAACUCCUUUUCUGGUUUUGUAUGCAGAAUUUUCAAGUAUUCUUUUAUAGUUCAAGUAAUCUUUACUAAAUAUUAAUUAAUAUCCAUAAGUGGAAUACAGGAUGUUAGAUUGUCCUAAAGUAUGAAUCUCUGUAUGUUUUGGAAAACUCACCAAGUAGAUAAUCUGUGGCAUGAAAGCUUGUUCUAAAAUCACAGUUCCUUUUAAGAAAAUAAUUUGAUACUUCAAAUCUGUGUGCAAGGGGAAUUAUGAUUGCACACUCGCUAUUUAGGAUCAAAGUUGUUUUAGGCAAAGUAGAAGCCUGAGAAAAGUAAAUGAUAAGGAGAGUGAGGUGAGAAAUGGAUUCAGCUUAUCACAACUAAAUUUAGGUAUCAAAAUGAAGGUGUCUGUGGUGAGGUAUCUUUCUGUGCUUUAUAGUUAACAGCAGCCUAAUCAGCAAGACUAAUGUUACAACACCAGUAGUGUCCCACUUCUGAACGGAGUCACUUUCCAAGCUACAUUGUCUGUAAUGGAAAAUUAGAUUCUUAGCUCGUGGUUAGAUACUUAUGUUUAGAUACAGCAAUUCAGGUGUUCUAAGUUUGAGUGAAAUCCCAAUUAAUGUGUCACGUAGCUCAUUAUUUUGAUUUUUGGGGCUUGUGCUUGUACACAGAGCAACAUCCUUAACAAAAAUUCAUCAGGUAGCUGUGGGCGGACUUUCAAAAUAUUUAAUAAUAUAGUCCUGAUACUUGUUUGCGUGGGUGACACUAAUUGUAUGUAAGCACUGGUUUUGUGCCAGCUGCACAGGUUACUUUUUUCCUUUUGUUACCUUGACCCACUGUUUUUGCCAACUGCAUUGUUUUCCAUGGAUCUGCACUGCCACGUCCCCACAGAAUGUUGCGUAAGCAGUGAGUGGUUGCUUGUGUUCCCGUAGUUGGUGACAGUGAGACCAAAGGUGUAAAGCCAACCCAGGGAGGAGCUGGGUGAAUCCACUCAGAGGUGUUGGUACUCAUAAUCCUCCCAAGAAGGAUUUCUGUCUGGCUGUCCAAAGCUAAAGCCCUCAACCCUUGAAGCCUCAAAACAGUGACACAUAUCUUACGUAGCAUGGCUUAUGUUCCAGGAGCCAGCGUGGCAAAGACCAAAUACUUCCCCAGAGAAAUUGGGAAAUGCAGAUCUUUAGCAACACUGUUUUCUACAGUGCACUGAAUAACUGAAGGGGAUAUUGUAAGUAAACUAUUUGCACAGGUCUGCCUGGGCAUAGAAAGAUGGACUUGACACAGUAAAAAGCAGAAGAAUUUUAAUCAUCCAUUUCUCUUCACAUCUUCCUUUACUUAGCUUAUCCUGAAACUAGUAUGUGUCCUUCUCCACAAAAGAUUCACCAUCUCCUUUGAACCCUCUACCUGUUUUCCCCUUCUUUCAGAAGGUCUUGUUCCUACUGGAACAAGUUCACAUAUUUCUGCUAAGUACAAUCUCCAGAACUGCUUUUUCCUUGCUAGCUUUCUAGACCAGCUUGCUGGAUUUUAGGAUUGGAAAAUGAUACUUACAGAAUCAAGGUGGCAUGCCAGCAGUAGCAGGUACUCGUGACUGUUUAAAACUUAAAAGUGAAGGUAAGAAUUAAGAUUGUGUUCAGGAGCACAGAAAUCUGAAGAGAUGGUUAAAAUUACUGCAGUUCAAGACAGGGUUUUGUUUUCAGCUUUUCCUUUGUUGAAUACAGCAAAUCUCUUGCAAAUAUGUUGUGGCAAUUUUCUUUCCUUGUUUAGCAGUACACAUACCAGUAAUUCUGUUGGAUUCAGUGUUUCUUGUGCUAUUUAUUUUGCCAAGUGGCUUAAGGUUUUUCUUACUAAAUGAGGAGGGGGUUUAGAACAAAUAUUAAGACAACCUUAGCUAAAUCUUCAUGAUAAAUUUGGCUGUGCUGCCAAAAUAGCUUCUUCGUUGUGGACUAAUUUUUCAUCCCCACUCCCUGUCAUUCUUUCCUAUAGUUUCACAUUAGAGAAUCCUCCUGUCACAAGGGAAGCUUGUGUGAGAGCUGACUCUCCAGAGCCUAUUCCAAGUCUGAAAACAGACAGUGCUGUCAAGUACAGGACAGAUUCUAUUAAGUAGAGAAGACUUUACACUGCCAAGUGGAUCUUGACACAAGAGAAUUUGACCUUACACAUACAAGUUGCAACUCUGUUUCUGAAAUAAAUCUAUGUGACAGUUUUUGGGUUUUGCCUUGUUCAAACGUGCAACUAUUUGGUCCACAGAAUAACACAGUUUAAGUAUAGGAACACCAUUUGCUAAUGUCAAAACAUUGUUUGUGCACAACUUAAUCUCCUGUGAUGGUGUAUUUAUUUGCUGUAUACUUGCUUGAGUUAUUUUCAUCAAGAAAUUCUGUCUAUGUGUUGCUUUGGCAACAUCUUUGCAGAGUUUACAACUUUGAAAAACAUGUUGGCAUCAGCUAUGCAGUCCUUUUAAACAGCUGCUCUGCAGUCAUGCUGUUUCAACAUGCCACCACACAUGGCUGAAUUAUGCAAAUAGUUAAUAUUAAAUGACUGAGAUACAAGAACAAUUUGUACACUCGAUAAAGCUGGUCUGUGGAGUGUAACUUCCAUUCAUGUAACUCAGUUAGUGUUCGACAAUUUAAAGGCUUCAGCAUGUUUCUUUUGACUUUGUUUUUUGUAUUAAAGGCAGCAGUGGACAGAGAGAAGGUAUAUGGCAGGAGUAUUUUAAAAGGCUGACUUUUUUUUAAAACUCAUUACCAGUAAUUCAGUGAAAAUAGAAUGUACAUCAAUGUAAUUUUCCAGCAGGUAUUAAAUAGGAACUAGCCACAAUGAAGCAGAUUAUUUUUACUCUACAUAGUAAAUGCUGUGAACAAAAUCUACCUCGGUCUCAUAUUGAUGUAAAAAGUGCAACUGGAAAACAGUCAAUUCCUUUGGUAAAACUGCUGCCAGA